UACACACGUGAGAAAGUUUGUGUCCGCCAUCUUUCAACUUAUACACCCUCCUACUCAGAGAUAAUUGUCAAAGGAGAGAUGGAUGAUAAGGGAAUCUCCAGAAGACAGUUCAGCAGCAACAAGGAGACUUUUGGGAAUUCCGAAGUCAGUCAAAACAUCUCUAAUCCACCAAAGGCUAAAAUUCGUGACCUCCUGCGUGACCCCAAAGGUUGACUGAGUGCCUGUCAAGCCACGUGUCAAGGUAAUGGGUAGCUUCCAAUCCCAUCAGCAAAGAAGUUGUGUGACCCUCUUCCAAGAUUUAGAAGGAAGGAAGGAGGGAAGGAGUAGAGAUGCACAAAGGAGAAGAAAUUGGUAGGGAG
Long non-coding RNA from Lates calcarifer (barramundi perch), 359 nucleotides. RefSeq lists it as uncharacterized. The record is from RefSeq and is a predicted model, not a curated record. The transcript has 4 exons. NCBI's taxonomy places the organism in Eukaryota, Metazoa, Chordata, Actinopteri, Centropomidae.